RNAcentral lists this ribosomal RNA (497 nucleotides) under uncultured bacterium. Its description in RNAcentral is "partial 16S ribosomal RNA". It matches the Rfam family "Bacterial small subunit ribosomal RNA", at positions 28 to 507 of the family's 1533-position model. The record is from RNAcentral.
GAUGAACGCUGGCGGCGUGCCUAAUACAUGCAAGUCGAGCGAACAGACGAGGAGCUUGCUCCUCUGACGUUAGCGGCGGACGGGUGAGUAACACGUGGAUAACCUACCUAUAAGACUGGGAUAACUUCGGGAAACCGGAGCUAAUACCGGAUAAUAUAUUGAACCGCAUGGUUCAAUAGUGAAAGACGGUUUUGCUGUCACUUAUAGAUGGAUCCGCGCCGCAUUAGCUAGUUGGUAAGGUAACGGCUUACCAAGGCAACGAUGCGUAGCCGACCUGAGAGAGUGAUCGCCCACACUGGAAGUGAGACACGGUCCAGACUCCUACGGGAGGCAGCAGUAGGGAAUCUUCCGCAAUGGGCGAAAGCCUGACGGAGCAACGCCGCGUGAGUGAUGAAGGUCUUCGGAUCGUAAAACUCUGUUAUUAGGGAAGAACAAAUGUGUAAGUAACUAUGCACGUCUUGACGGUACCUAAUCAGAAAGCCACGGCUAACUACGUG